ACUCCUACGGGAGGCAGCAGUGGGGAAUAUUGCACAAUGGGCGCAAGCCUGAUGCAGCCAUGCCGCGUGUGUGAAGAAGGCCUUCGGGUUGUAAAGCACUUUCAGUUGUGAGGAAAGGUUAGUCGCUAAUAUCGGCUAGCUGUGACGUUAGCAACAGAAGAAGCACCGGCUAACUCCGUGCCAGCAGCCGCGGUAAUACGGAGGGUGCAAGCGUUAUCCGGAAUCAUUGGGUUUAAAGGGUCCGCAGGCGGACGUAUAAGUCAGUGGUGAAAGCCUACAGCUUAACUGUAGAACUGCCAUUGAUACUGUAUGUCUUGAAUUCGGUCGAAGUGGGCGGAAUGUGUCAUGUAGCGGUGAAAUGCAUAGAUAUGACACAGAACACCGAUAGCGAAGGCAGCUCACUAGGCCUGAAUUGACGCUCAGGGACGAAAGCGUGGGGGAGCGAACAGGAUUAGAUACCCUGGUAGGAC
Molecule: ribosomal RNA, 470 nt
Filed under: uncultured bacterium
Lineage: Bacteria
Description: bacterial SSU rRNA
Rfam family: Bacterial small subunit ribosomal RNA
Source: RNAcentral